This is a long non-coding RNA of Pistacia vera, 2625 nucleotides long. RefSeq lists it as uncharacterized. The transcript has 3 exons. NCBI's taxonomy places the organism in Eukaryota, Viridiplantae, Streptophyta, Magnoliopsida, Sapindales, Anacardiaceae. The record is from RefSeq and is a predicted model, not a curated record.
UUUUCACCGGCGGGCCGAGUACGGAUAAUUUAUACUAUUACUCUUACCCGCCCGUUUAGACCUGGUACUCGUGAACCUACGGGUAUCGGUACCACUUUGCCAGUUCUACUCCCUGCCACUAACUCAAAAAUCCCCAAUUCCCUAUAUAUUUAUUCAAACCCUAACCACCGCCACCAAAUGCCAAUCUCAACGCGCUACUCAAAUGGCGUCCAAAACCUUCUUCUUCUGAAACGGUUACGAAAACCAAAAUCUCAUCUCUGUUCACAAAUUCAUGUAAAGUGACAACUACUGCACAAAAAGAUUCAGUACAUAGCGUUGAAGAGGAAGAGAGGCUUGAUCAAUUCCUUCAAAAAGAUUGUAAACAAGGUAACACGAGUGUUGCGAUUAGAUUGCAGGAAGAAAUGGUUGCUGGUAAUGGUGAAGGGGGUGUUAUUUGUGAGCCUAGUAUUUUUAGUAUUAUUGAUGGUCGAAAGAAUUGUUUGUGGAAAUGAAGGAUAAGGGAAAAACAUUUGGCUUAAUUCCAUUAUUCUUCAUUUCCAAAAACAAUUCUUUCUUAUCUAUUAAUCCCUCCUUACUAAGACCAAGGACAAUACUACCAUAAAAAUCAAUACUAGGCUUACAAAUAACACCCCUUUCACCAUUGUUGUGGGAGAUUUGGAGGAGGCUAACGUGAUCGAAUCUAGCCGAGCAGUUGAUGUGUGGUUUUGUAUUUGAUUUUAAUUGAUUUCAUGUGUGGUUUUGUAUUUGAUUUUAAUUGAUUUCAUGUGUGGUUUUGUAUUUGAUUUUAAUUUAUUUGAUGUGUGGUUUUGUAGCUGUGAUUAGGUUUUAGGUGUUCAGUUUUGUUUGUACUAAAGAAAAUUUAUAUCAAUGAUGAUAAAUGCAUAAUCCCAGCUCUAUGAGGCCUUUGUUAUUCAAAGUUCAGGGAAUAGACUGUUUCCAACAUUUAUCUGAGCUACAUAAAACUUUUUUAUUUGUACCAGUUUAAUGAGCUGUUUGUUUUUGUGAUUAUUUGAUGUGUUUCUGUGUCUGUGUAUUCUUUAUUUUGUGUUUGUUUAUCUGGGUUUGUUUCAUAUUUGUUUCCUGAGACGGAUCAAAAUAAUCAUGCUAGUGUAUAUCUGAUUGUUUUAUGACUGAAAGAUUUACUUUUUCCUGAGGGAACUUGAAUGAUUUGAGUGUUCCUUCAUGGGUUUAUUUGAAAUCUUGAAAAAGUUGUUCUUGUUUGCUCACAAUUGAGCUUGUUUCUUAGUUUUGUUUAUUUUGUGCUAUAGGUAUACUGUCGGACAAUGUGAAGAGAAUCUGAAAAAAUUGAAUGUAGGUUGUUACAUGAUUUUGUUCGUGAUUGAGUGUGAAAAGAAUUGAUAUUUCUAUUUCUUGUGAAGAUUUAUGUGCUUAUGUUGUUGAAUUUUUGCAUAAUCUCCACUGAAGGACUGUUCCCAGAGAUGUUUCAUUACUGACCAUGCUAAUUCUGAUAAUUAGAUGACUGAAUUCUUCUUUUGUUAUGUUCUGAGGGAACUAUUCUUCUCUUAUGUGAUUACAUUUUGUUCUUUUUUGAGUUUUGUUUAAUAUCAAGUAAGACAACAUUUUGUAAUGGAGGUGUUAUUAUUGAUUAAAUUUGUUGCAUAGUUGUGGCAAGCACUCUGACACUUAGUUGUGGAUAUUCCUGCAUUCACGUAUACAAUUUAUGAACUCUCAGCAAUAUCUCGGAAGUUGAAACAACCAUCAGAAUAGGUGUGGAUCUUGUCUCGGCCACCAGGCGAAAUAUCAGGUUCUUGAGGACUGUCAACGAGUCCCAGUGGCUUCAUGAGAGCGCAACUGUUGUUGAAGCCAUUUAGAGGAUGACAGACAUUUGAACUUUUUAUUAUAAUUUUAAUUAGAGUUAAUGGUUGCCGAACUUUUGAUCACUUUUAUUCUAUUUAGCGUUUAUAUUGGUAAUUAAGAAUUAAUUAGAGCUUUAAGUAUCUUGGUUUAUUCUUUGUUGAUAUUAAUUAAGAGUUAAUUAGAGCUUUUAAGAGUUUUAAGUAUGUUGGUUUGUUCUUUGUUGAUAUAGAAGCUCUCUCAGGAUACCGGAUUGAUUAGCAUUAAUAUUCAACUUCAUACGAAAUCAAAGCCUUCAUAGAAGCUCAUUUGAUUUUAAGCUUACAGUAACAAAUGCAUGGUUUAGUAAUUAAGAAAACAGGGGGCAAUGUCAUUGCCACUUGUCCUUUGUUUUUCUUGUUAUUUCCUCAGCAACCAAACACAAUCUUGCACUCAUUUAAUGAUAUAGAAGUUACCAAUAUUAUCUUUCGGGUCAGUUACAGACAAUACUGAGUCAAGGUUCUCAAAACUCAUUGGAAAACCAGCGACUUUCUAUGAACGAAACGAAGAGUAUGCCUUGAUGAGAUGCAAAGAAAUUUGGACCAACAGAUUCCCAGCUGAGCCUGUUGAGAAUAUCAAAACAGGUCAGUUUAGUUUAUGGUUUUUAAUAUAUGGCUUAUUUGGACCUUAGUAAUUGUAUUAAUAACAGUUUCGACUACUUAUCUGGUAUGAGUAUCAUCAGCCACCAUGUAUUUUAAACUUUGCCCUCCGUGCUUUUCUCUGAAUUUGUAUUUUCCAGAGAUUCAACAUCUAUGUGUAUUGAAUCUAAAU